This 451-nucleotide ribosomal RNA is filed under the name uncultured bacterium. RNAcentral's name for it is "partial 16S ribosomal RNA". It matches the Rfam family "Bacterial small subunit ribosomal RNA", at positions 354 to 796 of the family's 1533-position model. The record is from RNAcentral.
GUGGGGAAUAUUGGACAAUGGGGGGAACCCUGAUCCAGCCAUGCCGCGUGUGUGAAGAAGGCCUUUUGGUUGUAAAGCACUUUAAGCGAGGAGGAGGCUACCGAGAUUAAUACUCUUGGAUAGUGGACGUUACUCGCAGAAUAAGCACCGGCUAACUCUGUGCCAGCAGCCGCGGUAAUACAGAGGGUGCAAGCGUUAAUCGGAUUUACUGGGCGUAAAGCGCGCGUAGGUGGCCAAUUAAGUCAAAUGUGAAAUCCCCGGGCUUAACUUGGGAAUUGCAUUCGAUACUGGUUGGCUAGAGUAUGGGAGAGGAUGGUAGAAUUCCAGGUGUAGCGGUGAAAUGCGUAGAGAUCUGGAGGAAUACCGAUGGCGAAGGCAGCCAUCUGGCCUAAUACUGACACUGAGGUGCGAAAGCAUGGGGAGCAAACAGGAUUAGAAACCCCUGUAGUCC